CUGCUCCCGUCCUAUGUCUGCGGCAGACAUCAUGAGUCGAACGCACUCCUUCCAGCCUCACUAGGGUGCCACCCCAAAUUCCUGCUAAUAGAGUGCCCUAGGAAGCCAAUUUGUCACAAUUGGUACGAGAUGAAAGUCUAUUUGCCGUCUUUGUAUGUACUCCCUACAGACCGUUUUGAUACCUCAUAGCCACAUGAUACUUUACAUUUCUCUAGUGUUUGUACUUAAACGCUAGCACACCUUCCCACUCAGGAAACGGAGAGGAGAAAGGUGGAGAAUUCACCAAGUAACCCCAUGAUAAGAACAGCAGCACAGCUCUGUUACCAGGCUGCCUUUUACCUCUCCCCCCUCAGGCUUUCCAUCUGAUGGUCCCCUGGUGUGUGCCCUGGAACAGGAGCGAAGGCUCCGCGUCCCUCCGAAGCCACCUCCCCCUUUGCAGCCCCUUCUCCGAGAGGCAAGGCCAGAGGAACUGACUCCCCACGUGAUGGUGCUCCUGGCCCAGCACCUGGCCCGGCACCGGUUGCGGGAGCCCCAGCUUCUGGAAGCCAUUGCCCACUUCCUGGUGGUUCAGGAAACCCAGCUCAGCAGCAAGGUGGUACAGAAGUUGGUCCUGCCCUUUGGGCGGCUGAACUACCUGCCCCUGGAACAGCAGUUUAUGCCCUGCCUUGAGAGGAUCCUGGCUCGGGAAGCAGGGGUGGCACCCCUGGCUACAGUCAACAUCUUGAUGUCACUGUGCCAACUGCGGUGCCUGCCCUUCAGAGCCCUGCACUUUGUUUUUUCCCCUGGCUUCAUCAACUACAUCAGUGGUACGCAGCCAGGAUGGCUGGCUGGGCCCCUGAGGGCUGGAGAGGCAGGGGAGCAGGGUGGCCUGCAGCCCGGAGCCCCAGUCCCCGCCUCCCCACAGGCACCCCUCAUGCUCUGAUUGUGCGUCGCUACCUCUCCCUGCUGGACACGGCCGUGGAGCUGGAGCUCCCAGGAUACCGGGGUCCCCGCCUUCCCCGAAGGCAGCAAGUGCCCAUCUUUCCCCAGCCUCUCAUCACCGACCGUGCCCGCUGCAAGUACAGGUGGAUGGGGCAGCCUGGGGCAAGGGGAGGGGCCGGCCUGGGACCAGCAGAGUGGAAAAGCCAGAGGGACCAUGAAGCGCCAAAGCUAAGGAGCUCUCGGCCACCAUAAAACUGGGCCCUGAAGCAGCAGAGGGCUUUGCCCAGCGUGGUGGCACUAGACUGGGACAGACUAGGAUGAGGUGCCGGGCCCUUCCUGCUACUGGUGUCCUUUCUCCUCAGUCACAAGGACAUAGUAGCUGAGGGGUUGCGCCAGCUGCUGGGGGAGGAGAAAUACCGCCAGGACCUGACUGUGCCUCCAGGCUACUGCACAGGUGAGCAAGGGGCAGGCGGCAGGCCCAGGGAGACGGAGCCCUGGCUAAGGCCGCCGGCCCUGCUCCCCCUCCAGACUUCCUGCUGUGCGUCAGCAGCUCUGGUGCUGUGCUUCCCGUGAGGACCCAGGACCCCUUCCUGCCAUACCCACCAAGGUCCUGCCCACAGGGCCAGGCCGCCUCUAGCCCCACUACUCGAGACCCUGCCCAGAGGUAAGGGAGGCAGGGUGGGGGAGCCCUGGCCACCUUGCCCGCCAUGCCCUGAGCCACAUCCCUCCCCCUGCAGGGUGGUGCUGGUGUUGCGGGAACGCUGGCAUUUCUGCCGGGACGGCAGGGUGCUGCUGGGCUCGAGAGCCCUGAGGGAGCGGCACCUAGGCCUGAUGGGCUACCAGCUCCUGCCGGUGAGUGGCCCUGGCCUGGCCCGUGGCGUAUCCUCACUCCGGGCCUGCGGGUAACCUGCCGCCAUCUCCUCUCCCCACAGCUACCCUUCGAGGAACUGGAGUCCCAGAGAGGCCUGCCCCAGCUCAAGAGCUACCUGAGGCAGAAGCUCCAGGCCCUGGGCCUGCGCUGGGGGCCUGAAGGGGGCUGAGGGGAUGAU
RNAcentral lists this small RNA (1970 nucleotides) under Pongo abelii (Sumatran orangutan). RNAcentral's name for it is "retained intron". Lineage: Eukaryota; Metazoa; Chordata; Mammalia; Primates; Hominidae. The record is from RNAcentral.